This is an unclassified non-coding RNA of Pongo abelii (Sumatran orangutan), 148 nucleotides long. It matches the Rfam family "Metazoan signal recognition particle RNA". Rfam says of the family: The signal recognition particle (SRP) is a universally conserved ribonucleoprotein. It is involved in the co-translational targeting of proteins to membranes. The record is from Ensembl. Lineage: Eukaryota; Metazoa; Chordata; Mammalia; Primates; Hominidae.
GCUGGGCGUGGUGGUGGGCGCCUGUAAUCCCAACUACUCAGGAGGCUGAGGUAGGAGAAUUGCUUGAACCCAGGAGAUGGAGGUUGCAGUGAGCUGAGAUCAUGCCACUGCACUCCAGCCUGGGUGACAGAGCAAGACUCUGACUCAA